AGAGAAAAAACUUUUGGCCGGAAAGAACUAGACGCGCCGGCCCUCCUCCAGACUGCAGCCACCCCCAAACAACUUUCCCCAAAUCCCCCUCCACUGACCGCGCCGACCGCCCUAGAUCGACCCCGAGCACUACCGCCGGCGUCCCCCACAACCGCAGCCCUGCCGCCGGCGCCCCCACCACUGCAGCCCCGUCGCCACCCCUAGCUACCCCACUCCCGCCGGCCGCCCUAGAUCCCGAGUUCUGCAGCCGGCGUCCCGCACUAACACAGCCCCACCGCCGCCCCCAGCCCCCCACUGCCUGCAGCCCUCCACCUCGACGGACCGACCACUGCCGCCUUUGCCCCCAACCACCCCACACCAGCGCUGCCGAGCACGGAGCACCUCCACGGACGACCACUGUCGCCGAGCGACUCCACCGCAGAACUCCUCCCCAAGCAGGCCUCCUCCCUCAACCUGAGCAGGUGAGCACCGAGCGGGAUUGCCUCCUCGACGUCCUCUCCGACCCCCCAAGCAGCGGAGCGUCCCUCUUCUCCCGUGACCAGCUCACUACCACAUCAACAUCCUCUGUCUGCCUCCUCUGCCCCAUCAAGAGCAUUUGUGGCGGUGGGGAGGAUCCAAUUCACGAGGAUGUAGAGCCAGGCAGCAUUGAUCCCCUUCUAAAAGAAAAAGAAGCGUGAUGCGGAUGCUUUUCGACAAUUCAUAGCUGAUGAUAGCGGGGAGCUUUAUCCAGGGUGCACACAACCUUCUUAAAGCUACAUUUUGUUGUUAGGUUACUCCAUAUCAAAUCUCUUGGAGGAAAAAGAAUGGAACAAGAAAGAUACUAAGAUAAUUUUGAAGAACGAGAGGAAGAAUGGAACAAGAAAGAGACUAAGACAAUGUUCAAGAACGAGAGGAAGAGAGGCUACCGAGAAUUAGAACAACAAAUGGCCAGGAUUUUGAAUGGUUUGGCCGCCUUACAUUUUCAAAUAUAAAUGAAGAAUUUGGAGGCCCAGCUAGUCAGUGACAAACUAAAAGGAAGAAGAAGACAAUCAAAUGGUCAUCAAUUCUGUUUGCUUUACUUCGGUACAGGAAUAGCCUCACUACAAGAUAGCUGCAGAUUUCCCAAAGGUGAACAAGUUCACUAAGGUUUGGAAGAUUUUCAAGCUGAUGAAGAUUUGGAAGACCUACAAUGUCCUGCGUCUUGUUUGUUGAACCUAGACAUUUGCUCUGCUCAUUUUGGUGGUGGUUUGGCUGUGUGGCACACAUCUAGAAGCAUAUGUACAUCUUUUGUGGCACUACUUUAGUUUGGUUGUGGGGUAAACAUAUAUAUGUACUCCUUUCGUGGCACAACCUCUACAUAUAUUGUCGUUAUGUUUAUCAAAUGAAGUUUAAGGUUUUCGAUGA
This is a long non-coding RNA of Triticum aestivum (bread wheat), 1383 nucleotides long. RefSeq lists it as uncharacterized. Lineage: Eukaryota; Viridiplantae; Streptophyta; Magnoliopsida; Poales; Poaceae. The transcript is spliced from 5 exons. The record is from RefSeq and is a predicted model, not a curated record.